GAUGAACGCUGGCGGCGUGCCUAAUACAUGCAAGUCGAGCGAACAGACCAGGAGCUUGCUCCACUGACGUUGGCGGCGGACGGGUGAGUCACACGUGGAUAACCUACCUCUAAGACUGGGAUAACUUCGGGAAACGGGAGCUACUACCGGAAAAUAUAUUGAACUGCAUGGGUCAAUAGUGUAAGACGGUUUUGCUGUCACUUAUAGAUGGAUCCGCCCCGCAUUAGCUAGUUGGCAAGGUAACGGCUUACCAAGGCAACGAUGCGUAGCCGACCCGAGCGCGUGAAGGGGCACACUGGAAGUGAGACACGGUCCAGACACCGAGAGGAGGCAGCGGCAGGGAAUCUUCCGCGAUGGGGGAAAGCCUGACGGAGCAACGCCGGCUGAAUGAUGAAGGUCUUCGGACCGGAAAACGCUGUUAGUAGGGAAAAACAAAUGUGUUAGUAACGAUGCACGUCUUGACGGUACCUGGUCAGAAAGCCACGGCUAACUACGUG
Molecule: ribosomal RNA, 497 nt
Filed under: uncultured bacterium
Lineage: Bacteria
Description: partial 16S ribosomal RNA
Rfam family: Bacterial small subunit ribosomal RNA
Source: RNAcentral